CGGGGGCAGAGUGACAGGUGGUGCAUGGUUGUCGUCAGCUCGUGUCGUGAGAUGUUGGGUUAAGUCCCGCAACGAGCGCAACCCUUGAUCUUAGUUGCCAGCAUUCAGUUGGGCACUCUAAGGUGACUGCCGGUGACAAACCGGAGGAAGGUGGGGAUGACGUCAAAUCAUCAUGCCCCUUAUGACCUGGGCUACACACGUGCUACAAUGGGCAGAACAAAGGGCAGCGAAGCCGCGAGGCUAAGCCAAUCCCACAAAUCUGUUCUCAGUUCGGAUCGCAGUCUGCAACUCGACUGCGUGAAGCUGGAAUCGCUAGUAAUCGCGGAUCAGCAUGCCGCGGUGAAUACGUUCCCGGGCCUUGUACACACCGCCCGUCACACCACGAGAGUUUGUAACACCCGAAGUCGGUGAGGU
RNAcentral lists this ribosomal RNA (414 nucleotides) under Bacillus sp. (in: firmicutes). RNAcentral describes it as "bacterial SSU rRNA". It matches the Rfam family "Bacterial small subunit ribosomal RNA", at positions 1021 to 1436 of the family's 1533-position model. The record is from RNAcentral. Lineage: Bacteria; Bacillati; Bacillota; Bacilli; Caryophanales; Bacillaceae.